AGGAUGACCGCUGGCGGCAUGAUUAAGGCAUGCAAGUCGAACGGUCCACCAUUAGCAAUAAUUGUGGACAGUGGCAAACGGGUGCGUAACACAUUGGUAAUCUACCCCCAAGUCGCGAAUAACUUUUCGAAAGAGAAGCUAAUACGCGAUAAUGAGGCAAGACAUAUGUCUUUUUUCUAAAGAUUUAUCGCUUGGGGAGGAGCCUAUGGCCUAUCAGCUAGUUGGUAGUGUAAAAGACUACCAAGGCUACGACGGGUAGCGGGUGUGAGAGCACGACCCGCCUCACUGGGACUGAGACACGGCCCAGACACCUACGGGUGGCUGCAGUCAUGAAUCUUCGGCAAUGGGCGAAAGCCUGACCGAGCAAUGCCGCGUGAUCGAUGAAGCUCUUCGGGGCGUAAAGAUCUUUUAUCAGGGAAGAACAAAUGACGGUACCUGAUGAAUAAGAGGUUGCAAACUCUGUGCCAGCAGCAGCGGUAAUACAGAGACCUCGAGCGUUAUCCGGAUUUAUUGGGCGUAAAGAGUGCGUAGGCGGCUUGUUAAGUCAACGGUCAAAUUUGGGGGCUCAACCCCUAAACCGCCGUUGAAACUGACAAGCUAGAGUUUGGAAGAGGUAAGCGGAAUUGCUGGUGUAGGGGUAAAAUCCGUUAAUAUCAGCAGGAACACCAAAUGCGAAAGCAGCUUACUGGUACAAUACUGACGCUGUUGCACGAAAGCGUGGGGAUCAAAGAGGAUUAGAUACCCUCGUAGUCCACGCCGUAAACGAUGAUUACUAGACAUUGGAAGUAUCGACCCUUCCAGUGUCGUUUAAAAAAGCUAACGCGUUAAGUAAUCCGCCUGGGAAGUACGGCCGCAAGGCUAAAACUCAAAG
Molecule: ribosomal RNA, 871 nt
Filed under: uncultured bacterium
Lineage: Bacteria
Description: bacterial SSU rRNA
Rfam family: Bacterial small subunit ribosomal RNA
Source: RNAcentral